RNAcentral lists this transfer RNA (78 nucleotides) under Candidatus Lokiarchaeum ossiferum. Its description in RNAcentral is "tRNA-Thr". It matches the Rfam family "tRNA". Rfam says of the family: Transfer RNA (tRNA) molecules are approximately 80 nucleotides in length. Their secondary structure includes four short double-helical elements and three loops (D, anti-codon, and T loops). Further hydrogen bonds mediate the characteristic L-shaped molecular structure. tRNAs have two regions of fundamental functional importance: the anti-codon, which is responsible for specific mRNA codon recognition, and the 3' end, to which the tRNAs corresponding amino acid is attached (by aminoacyl-tRNA synthetases). tRNAs cope with the degeneracy of the genetic code in two manners: having more than one tRNA (with a specific anti-codon) for a particular amino acid; and 'wobble' base-pairing, i.e. permitting non-standard base-pairing at the 3rd anti-codon position. The record is from RNAcentral. Lineage: Archaea; Promethearchaeati; Promethearchaeota; Promethearchaeia; Promethearchaeales; Promethearchaeaceae.
GCCUUUGUAGUCUAGCCCGGCCAUUACGCUGCCUUGGUAAGGCAGAUGUCGAGGGUUCAAGUCCCUCCGAAGGCUCCA